RNAcentral lists this ribosomal RNA (293 nucleotides) under uncultured bacterium. Its description in RNAcentral is "partial 16S ribosomal RNA". It matches the Rfam family "Bacterial small subunit ribosomal RNA", at positions 505 to 796 of the family's 1533-position model. The record is from RNAcentral.
GUGCCAGCAGCCGCGGUAAUACGUAGGGGGCGAGCGUUGUCCGGAUUUAUUGGGCGUAAAGAGCUCGUAGGCGGUUGGGUAAGUCGGGUGUGAAAACUCAGGGCUCAACUCUGAGACGCCACUCGAUACUGCUCUGACUCGAGUCCGGUAGGGGAGCGUGGAAUUCCCGGUGUAGCGGUGAAAUGCGCAGAUAUCGGGAGGAACACCAGUGGCGAAGGCGGCGCUCUGGGCCGGAACUGACGCUGAGGAGCGAAAGCGUGGGUAGCAAACAGGAUUAGAUACCCUGGUAGUCC